This 433-nucleotide ribosomal RNA is filed under the name uncultured bacterium. RNAcentral describes it as "partial 16S ribosomal RNA". It matches the Rfam family "Bacterial small subunit ribosomal RNA", at positions 29 to 507 of the family's 1533-position model. The record is from RNAcentral.
AACGAACGCUGGCGGCAUGCCUAACACAUGCAAGUCGAACGAGACCUUCGGGUCUUGUGGCGCCCGGGUGCGUAACGCGUGGGAACCUGCCCUUAGGUUUGGAAUAACUCCCCGACAGGGAUGAUAAUACCGGACAAUGUCUUCGGCCCAAAGAUUUAUCGCCCUUGGUUGGGCCCGCGUUGGAUUAGCUAGUGGGUAGGGUAAAAGCCUACCAAGGCGACGAUCCAUAGCUGGUUUGAGAGGAUGGUCAGCCACACUGGGACUGAGACGCGGCCCGGAAUCCUACGGGAGGCGGCAGUGGGGAAUGUUGGACAAUGGGCUAAGGCAUGAUCCAGCAAUGCCGGGUAAGUGAUGAAAGCCGGAGGGUUGUAAAGCUCUUUUACCCGGGAUGAUAAUGACGGUACCGGGAGAAUAAGCCCCGGCUAACUCCGUG